RNAcentral lists this long non-coding RNA (1163 nucleotides) under Mus spicilegus (steppe mouse). Its description in RNAcentral is "lncRNA (ENSMSIG00000001285.1)". Lineage: Eukaryota; Metazoa; Chordata; Mammalia; Rodentia; Muridae. The record is from RNAcentral.
CAGAACAUUCCUUAAUGCCCCACUGGACUCUAACAUCAGUACCAGCUACCCCUUUCCUUAUCUGUUGACAGUCACUUGACCACUAUGCAGACUACCUAUGUCUGACAUCCUUUGCUUUUGUUAGCAUCCAAGGCUCCAAGCCUUAGAUAAUGAUGCUAUAGCCCCAGUGACCUAAACCUCCAGAGAGCUACUAUUGUUGAAGCCACCCACGUUUGGUGAUCGAUUUUUGCUCUGUGCUCCCUCACACUGGUUUCCUACCAGGGUUGAUGCUACUUCACACUGAAAGAGCUACUGAGUAUUUUUCAUGAAAAGAUCCCCCAUGGGACAGUGACAGUGUCCACUUUACUUUGUUUAACCAAAGUCUUAAAAGCACUCAGUAGGAGAAGUGGAUCAAAGUGAAUUUUGAAAAUCCUCCUCCCAGCUGACCUGUGCUACACUGGUCUGAACAAAUUCUUGUGUCUGGAAAGCAGCCAAUAAGGGCUUGGCUGCUUCCCCUUGUGAAUUACCUCUCACAGUAGCUAAACUGUCAAGCAAACCAGUCUAGAACUUCUGAAACCAUCAGGAAGGGCAAGUGUGACAGGAGCUGGUGUCUGAGAACUCAUCACUGAUGUUUUUCAGCCAAGGGUUUCUUGAUUAAUGGUUUUGUAAAACAUUAGUCAGAGAUAGAAAAACAAAUGAAUGUGUUUUUCUUUGCAUCCUGAAUGCUUACCGACUAUCGUGUGUAACACAUUGUUAUCUUGGCAUCUGGCAGUGUCUCCUUUUUACCCAGCCUUGUUGAACUAUGGGGAGAAAUUCAACAACCCAAUCUCAGGAAAAAAUUGUGAUGAAGUGUGCGUCAUGCCACAGGUCUUGAGGAAGGAUCACAUACUUGAUGGUCAUCAUCUGCCUGAGUGCUUGAGAAGAGUGACAACUAGUCUGGAGGCCAUGAGAUGUUUCAAUGGAUAACAGUGCUUCUCUGUGGAAGCUGAAUGACAUGAAUUAGUGCCCCAGUAUCCAUGUAAAAAGUCAAAUUCAGCAGCAUGCAUCUGUAAUCCCAAGAUUCCUGCAGCAGGAUAAGAAGCCAAGACAAGUAAAUCGUGUGGAAGCUUGUGAAACAGCUAGCCUAAUUACAACAUCAUGGAAACAAGAUACCCUGCACCAACAAGUCGAGAGGAAAGGACUGA